Molecule: ribosomal RNA, 492 nt
Filed under: uncultured bacterium
Lineage: Bacteria
Description: bacterial SSU rRNA
Rfam family: Bacterial small subunit ribosomal RNA
Source: RNAcentral
CAGGCCUAACACAUGCAAGUCGAACGGUAACAGGAAGCAGCUUGCUGCUUCGCUGACGAGUGGCGGACGGGUGAGUAAUGUCUGGGAAACUGCCUGAUGGAGGGGGAUAACUACUGGAAACGGUAGCUAAUACCGCAUAACGUCUUCGGACCAAAGAGGGGGACCUUCGGGCCUCUUGCCAUCGGAUGUGCCCAGAUGGGAUUAGCUAGUAGGUGGGGUAACGGCUCACCUAGGCGACGAUCCCUAGCUGGUCUGAGAGGAUGACCAGCCACACUGGAACUGAGACACGGUCCAGACUCCUACGGGAGGCAGCAGUGGGGAAUAUUGCACAAUGGGCGCAAGCCUGAUGCAGCCAUGCCGCGUGUAUGAAGAAGGCCUUCGGGUUGUAAAGUACUUUCAGCGGGGAGGAAGGGAGUGAGGUUAAUAACCUCAUUCAUUGACGUUACCCGCAGAAGAAGCACCGGCUAACUCCGUGCCAGCAGCCGCGGUAAU